RNAcentral lists this unclassified non-coding RNA (358 nucleotides) under soil metagenome. RNAcentral's name for it is "partial contains 5.8S ribosomal RNA, internal transcribed spacer 2, and large subunit ribosomal RNA". The stretch from base 1 to 120 matches the Rfam family "5.8S ribosomal RNA", at positions 35 to 154 of the family's 154-position model. The record is from RNAcentral.
GAUGAAGAACGCAGCGAAAUGCGAUAAGUAAUGUGAAUUGCAGAAUUCAGUGAAUCAUCGAAUAUUUGAACGCACAUUGCGCCCGUCAGUAUUCUGGCGGGCAUGCCUGUUCGAGCGUCAUUACGCCCCUCAAGUCCCCUGUGGACUUGGUGUUGGGGAUCGGCGAGGCUGGUUUUCCAGCACAGCCGUCCCUUAAAUUAAUUGGCGGUCUCGCCGUGGCCCUCCUCUGCGCAGUAGUAAAACACUCGAAACAGGAGCCCGGCGCGGUCCACUGCCGUAAAACCCCCCAACUUUUUAUAGUUGACCUCGAAUCAGGUAGGACUACCCGCUGAACUUAAGCAUAUCAAUAAGCGGAGGA